This 447-nucleotide ribosomal RNA is filed under the name uncultured bacterium. Its description in RNAcentral is "bacterial SSU rRNA". It matches the Rfam family "Bacterial small subunit ribosomal RNA", at positions 328 to 792 of the family's 1533-position model. The record is from RNAcentral.
GACCCAGACUCCUACGGGAGGCAGCAGUGGGGAAUAUUGCACAAUGGGGGAAACCCUGAUGCAGCGACGCCGCGUGAGUGAAGAAGUACUUCGUUAUGUAAAGCUCUAUCAGCAGGGAGGAAAAUGACGGUACCUGACUAAGAAGCCCCGGCUAACUACGUGCCAGCAGCCGCGGUAAUACGUAGGGGGCAAGCGUUAUCCGGAUUUACUGGGUGUAAAGGGAGCGUAGACGGCAAUGCAAGCCAGAUGUGAAAGCCCGGGGCUCAACCCCGGGACUGCAUUUGGAACUGUGUAGCUGGAGUGUCGGAGAGGCAGGCGGAAUUCCUGGUGUAGCGGUGAAAUGCGUAGAUAUCAGGAGGAACACCGGUGGCGAAGGCGGCCUGCUGGACUGCAACUGACGUUGAGGCCCGAAAGCGUGGGGAGCAAACAGGAUUAGAUCCCCGUGUA